Molecule: ribosomal RNA, 229 nt
Filed under: uncultured bacterium
Lineage: Bacteria
Description: partial 16S ribosomal RNA
Rfam family: Bacterial small subunit ribosomal RNA
Source: RNAcentral
UGCGCAGGCGGGAAAUUAAGUCGGUGGUGAAAUCCUGCAGCUUAACUGUAGAAUUGCCAUUGAUACUGAUUUUCUUGAGUGCAGUUGAGGUGGGCGGAAUGUGUAAUGUAGCGGUGAAAUGCUUAGAUAUUACACAGAACACCGAUUGCGUAGGCAGCUCACUAAACUGUUACUGACGCUCAGGCACGAAAGCGUGGGGAGCGAACAGGAUUAGAUACCCUGGUAGUCC